This 629-nucleotide ribosomal RNA is filed under the name uncultured bacterium. RNAcentral describes it as "bacterial SSU rRNA". It matches the Rfam family "Bacterial small subunit ribosomal RNA", at positions 195 to 823 of the family's 1533-position model. The record is from RNAcentral.
GAAGGUGAAAAGCAGAGAUGCGCUUUUGGAGAGACUUGUGUCCUAUCAGGCAGUUGGUGAGGUGAAAGCUCACCAAACCGAAGACGGGUAGCCGGACUGAGAGGUCGACCGGCCACAUUGGAACUGAGAGACGGUCCAGACUCCUACGGGAGGCAGCAGUGAGGAAUAUUGGACAAUGGUCGGAAGACUGAUCCAGCCAUGCCGCGUGGAGGUUAAGGUCCUAUGGAUUGUAAACUCCUUUUGAGAGGGAGCAAUAAGUGUCACGCGUGACACGAUGAGAGUACCUUUCGAAUAAGCAUCGGCUAACUCCGUGCCAGCAGCCGCGGUAAUACGGAGGAUGCGAGCGUUAUCCGGAUUUAUUGGGUUUAAAGGGUGCGUAGGCGGUUUUGCAAGUCAGCGGUGAAACGCACGGGCUUAACCUGUGACCUGCCGUUGAAACUGCGGGACUGGAAUGCGGAUGCUGUGGGAGGAAUGUGUGGUGUAGCGGUGAAAUGCAUAGAUAUCACACAGAACACCGAUUGCGAAGGCAUCUCACAAAUCCGUGAUUGACGCUGAGGCACGAAAGUGUGGGGAUCAAACAGGAUUAGAUACCCUGGUAGUCCACACUGUAAACGAUGAUAACUCGCUGU